RNAcentral lists this ribosomal RNA (269 nucleotides) under uncultured Lactobacillus sp. RNAcentral describes it as "partial 16S ribosomal RNA". It matches the Rfam family "Bacterial small subunit ribosomal RNA", at positions 76 to 339 of the family's 1533-position model. The record is from RNAcentral. Lineage: Bacteria; Bacillati; Bacillota; Bacilli; Lactobacillales; Lactobacillaceae.
UGAUUUACAUUUGAGUGAGUGGCGAACUGGUGAGUAACACGUGGGAAACCUGGCCCUAAAUGGGGGAUAACAUUUGGAAACAGAUGCUAAUACCGCAUAACAACUUGGACCGCAUGGUCCGAGUUUGAAAGAUGGCUUCGGCUAUCACUUCUGGAUGGUCCCGCGGCGUAUUAGCUAGAUGGUGAGGUAACGGCUCACCAUGGCAAUGAUACGUAGCCGACCUGAGAGGGUAAUCGGCCACAUUGGGACUGAGACACGGCCCAAACUCC